AACAGACGAGGAGCUUGCUCCUCUGAUGUUAGCGGCGGACGGGUGAGUAACACGUGGAUAACCUACCUAUAAGACUGGGAUAACUUCGGGAAACCGGAGCUAAUACCGGAUAACAUGUUGAACCGCAUGGUUCAACAGUGAAAGACGGUCUUGCUGUCACUUAUAGAUGGAUCCGCGCCGCAUUAGCUAGUUGGUAAGGUAACGGCUUACCAAGGCAACGAUGCGUAGCCGACCUGAGAGGGUGAUCGGCCACACUGGAACUGAGACACGGUCCAGACUCCUACGGGAGGCAGCAGUAGGGAAUCUUCCGCAAUGGGCGAAAGCCUGACGGAGCAACGCCGCGUGAGUGAAGAAGGUCUUCGGAUCGUAAAACUCUGUUAUUAGGGAAGAACAAAUGUGUAAGUAACUAUGCACGUCUUGACGGUACCUAAUCAGAAAGCCACGGCUAACUACGUGCCAGCAGCCGCGGUAAUACGUAGGUGGCAAGCGUUAUCCGGAAUUAUUGGGCGUAAAGCGCGCGUAGGCGGUUUUUUAAGUCUGAUGUGAAAGCCCACGGCUCAACCGUGGAGGGUCAUUGGAAACUGGAAAACUUGAGUGCAGAAGAGGAAAGUGGAAUUCCAUGUGUAGCGGUGAAAUGCGCAGAGAUAUGGAGGAACACCAGUGGCGAAGGCGACUUUCUGGUCU
RNAcentral lists this ribosomal RNA (684 nucleotides) under uncultured Staphylococcus sp. Its description in RNAcentral is "bacterial SSU rRNA". It matches the Rfam family "Bacterial small subunit ribosomal RNA", at positions 68 to 735 of the family's 1533-position model. The record is from RNAcentral. Lineage: Bacteria; Bacillati; Bacillota; Bacilli; Caryophanales; Staphylococcaceae.